UAGGGAAUCUUCGGCAAUGGACGAAAGUCUGACCGAGCAACGCCUCGUGAGUGAAGAAGUUUUUCGGAUCGUAAAACUCUGUUGUUAGAGAAGAACAAGGACGUUAGUAACUGAACGUCCCCUGACGGUAUCUAACCAGAAAGCCACGGCUAACUACGUGCCAGCAGCCGCGGUAAUACGUAGGUGGCAAGCGUUGUCCGGAUUUAUUGGGCGUAAAGCGAGCGCAGGCGGUUGCUUAAGUCUGAGGUGAAAGCCCCCGGCUCAACCGUGGAGUGUCAUUGGAAACUGGGAGACUUGAGUGCAGAAGAGGAGAGUGGAAGUCCAUGUGUAGCGGUGAAAUGCGUAGAUAUAUGGAGGAAAACCAGUGGCGAAAGCGGCUCUCUGGUCUGUAACAGACGCUGAGGCUCGAAAGCGUGGGGAGCGAACAGG
This 429-nucleotide ribosomal RNA is filed under the name Chloroflexota bacterium. RNAcentral's name for it is "Chloroflexi bacterium partial 16S ribosomal RNA". It matches the Rfam family "Bacterial small subunit ribosomal RNA", at positions 355 to 776 of the family's 1533-position model. Lineage: Bacteria; Bacillati; Chloroflexota. The record is from RNAcentral.